This 465-nucleotide ribosomal RNA is filed under the name Vreelandella stevensii. RNAcentral describes it as "partial 16S ribosomal RNA". It matches the Rfam family "Bacterial small subunit ribosomal RNA", at positions 338 to 795 of the family's 1533-position model. Lineage: Bacteria; Pseudomonadati; Pseudomonadota; Gammaproteobacteria; Oceanospirillales; Halomonadaceae. The record is from RNAcentral.
CCUACGGGGGGCAGCAGUGGGGAAUAUUGGACAAUGGGGGCAACCCUGAUCCAGCCAUGCCGCGUGUGUGAAGAAGGCCCUCGGGUUGUAAAGCACUUUCAGUGAGGAAGAACGCCUGGUGGUUAAUACCCAUCAGGAAAGACAUCACUCACAGAAGAAGCACCGGCUAACUCCGUGCCAGCAGCCGCGGUAAUACGGAGGGUGCGAGCGUUAAUCGGAAUUACUGGGCGUAAAGCGCGCGUAGGUGGCUUGAUAAGCCGGUUGUGAAAGCCCCGGGCUCAACCUGGGAACGGCAUCCGGAACUGUCAAGCUAGAGUGCAGGAGAGGAAGGUAGAAUUCCCGGUGUAGCGGUGAAAUGCGUAGAGAUCGGGAGGAAUACCAGUGGCGAAGGCGGCCUUCUGGACUGACACUGACGCUGAGGUGCGAAAGCGUGGGUAGCAAACAGGAUUAGAUACCCCGGUAGUC